Molecule: ribosomal RNA, 497 nt
Filed under: uncultured bacterium
Lineage: Bacteria
Description: partial 16S ribosomal RNA
Rfam family: Bacterial small subunit ribosomal RNA
Source: RNAcentral
GAUGAACGCUGGCGGCGUGCCUAACACAUGCAAGUCGAGCGGACGGACCAUAAGCUUGUUCCUUUGCUGUUAGCGGAGGGCGGGCGAGUAACGCGUGGAUCACCUACUUAUAUUUCGGGGAUAAUUACGGGACACCGGAUAUUAUACCGGAUAAUAUUUUGUACCGCUUUGUUCAAUGGAUAAUGACGGUCUUGCUGACAGUAAUAGCCGGUUCCGCGCUGCAUGAGCUAGUUGGUAAGGUAACGGCUUACCAAGGCUACGAUGCGUAGCCGACCUGAGAGGGUGAUCGGCCACACUGGAACUGAGACACGGUCCAGACUCCUACGGGAGGCAGCAGUGGGGAAUCUUCCGCAAUGGGCGAAAGCCUGACGGAGCAACGCCGCGUGAGUGAUGAAGGUCUUCGGAUCGUAAAGCCCUGUUAUUAGGGAAGAACAGCUGUGGAAGUAACUGCGGACAUCUUGACGGUACCUAAUCAAAAAGCAACGGCUAACUACGUG